Molecule: long non-coding RNA, 1942 nt
Organism: Lepisosteus oculatus (spotted gar)
Lineage: Eukaryota; Metazoa; Chordata; Actinopteri; Semionotiformes; Lepisosteidae
Source: RefSeq, a predicted model, not a curated record
CCUUAUCUUAAGGAACAACAAGAAAGCUGCAUUUUCACUUUAACUACUUUAGAUCUAAAUUAAUCCCAAGCUUUAUUGUCUGUGGGUUUGUUGCUAGAAGGGCAAUUAGAAAACAACUACUCUACUUUACGGUUUCUUACAUAUGAAUACUCAGAAAAUGACUUGGCAGAAUUCCUGCCUUCUAAAUGCCACAGCUGGGAACAGACACGUUGGUCCAGAGGAUCUCCAGACACUGUAUGGGUAGGAUACCAAAUUAAUCUUUUAUUGAGCAUACUCGUACGUAUACAGUAGGUCUAUUUAGUUACCACUAAGCUUAGCAUUUUAUAUAUCUUUGAUUGUUAGACUGUACUACAGUACAUUUAUGACGAGAUUGUGUGCACAUUAUUUCACAGUGCUAGGUUAUGAAUUUGGCACAUUUCAGUGCACAGAUCUUUGCAACACUAUCAGAUAUCCAAUAAAAACAUUAGAAGACUGCCAUUAUUUCAUAUAAUUUGUUGGUUUAUGGGUGAUUUUUCAAAAGAGAACAGUCCUGGCAUAUUCCUACAAUUUCUUCUCUUUAAAGCCAGUAUAAAUUGAGAAAAACAUCUGAGAAGCUCCUGUUCAGCUUUACUGCAUGAACACGGGGUGACUCAUAACUCUUUGGAAGAAGGGUUCAUACUGUAAUGACAGUGCUGACUGAGGAUCACAACCCCUCUCAUAAAAGAGGAAUGAACCAGGGAGGCAGCUGCAAGGGUGAAGUUGGGGUGGUGAAGAACUAGAAAAGAGUUGAAGGCAGCCACUCUUUUGCCGAGGUGAUUGCUCCAGUUUCCUCUAAAACAUCAAUGUGAAAACAAAGAGUCCCACAGGAUCCUGCAGUGUAUCCGAGAGGUAGCCCAGGCCGGUCUUUUAAAAUUGAAUUGUUUUCAAUUCUGGCUAAGCCAAAGCAAUCUCUCCAGUGACUUUGUUCUUUGUUGUUACUGUUCAUUUUCUAAUGACUGGCAGAAAUUUGUUCUGGUUUUCUUGCAUCUCUUAACAUUGCAGUUCCCUGAGGGAAAUUCAAUUCCUGUGACCUUUUGAAACACAAGGAGUAGGAGUUGCAUGUAUUGGGGGUAUGCACUGCUCAAGCCUGUUUGUGGCCAGGAAGCACAGUAUGUGGUCACCACCUGCUUAUCUAUUUUCUUCUCUUGUAAACACAAAGGAAAAAAAAAAUUAAGCUGUCUUUAUGGCAUAACACAGUGCAUUGGUUGAUUUUAUAUAUAAUAUGUUUAUAACACAUAUAUUUUAGGAUUCUAAACAGGAAGGGGACAGAUGUCAUGCUGGUACCUUAAAGAACCUUUGUAUUUAAAAAGACGAUAAUGCAGUAAUAAUAGGCUGUGAAAGGUGAGGAACUGUACCAUUUGUCUUCAUAUUGUCCAGUAAGUGCACACAGCAUAUGUCCAGAUCCCAGGCGUUCCUGGUAUUUAGUGCUGGGCUUUCGCCAGAUGUAACUGUUGAGUUUGGCCAAAAGUGUGGAGACAGGGGAAGACCCCCAUAUGUGUUUUUUCUUGUGGGACCUGAUCCCAGACCUGCAUUAGAGAAUUAAAGGCUUGAGAAUACAAAUGCUUUACUGACAAACCCAUCUCAAACCCUUUACGGCUCUUUCCAGGGCUCCAAGAUGUUCAUAUUUUUGUUGUUUUUCACCAUCUCCACAAGCCGAGAGGGGUGAUGUGUUGCUGUACAGUACUGUAUAUAUGAAUUCACAAAUCAUUUAGAUCCAUGCAUUUGUCCUCCUCCUUCUGCUUCAUCUUUGACAUCUGUUUUCAUGACCGCUUUCGUAAUUCCCUGAUACAUCAUCCAAAUGCAUCCAAAAUAAACUAAGCAUAAACACACCCAGUGUCAUUCAGUUUCAUCGGAUUUCGUAUUUUAGCACCCAUCUUUAUUUCUUAAAUAAUGUUAGUCAUUUUCUUCUAAUUCUCUAAGCUAC